GUUAUAUGGUCAAGUGAAGAAGCGCAUACGGUGGAUGCCUUGGCAGUCAGAGGCGAUGAAAGACGUGGUAGCCUGCGAAAAGCUUCGGGGAGUCGGCAAACAGACUUUGAUCCGGAGAUCUCUGAAUGGGGGAACCCACCUAGGAUAACCUAGGUAUCUUGUACUGAAUCCAUAGGUGCAAGAGGCGAACCAGGGGAACUGAAACAUCUAAGUACCCUGAGGAAAAGAAAUCAACCGAGAUUCCCUUAGUAGUGGCGAGCGAACGGGGAUUAGCCCUUAAGCUUCAUUGAUUUUAGCGGAACGCUCUGAAAAGUGCGGCCAUAGUGGGUGAUAGCCCCGUACGCGAAAGGAUCUUUGAAGUGAAAUCGAGUAGGACGGAGCACGAGAAACUUUGUCUGAACAUGGGGGGACCAUCCUCCAAGGCUAAAUACUACUGACUGACCGAUAGUGAACCAGUACCGUGAGGGAAAGGCGAAAAGAACCCCGGAGAGGGGAGUGAAAUAGAACCUGAAACCGUAUGCGUACAAGCAGUGGGAGCCUACUUGUUAGGUGACUGCGUACCUUUUGUAUAAUGGGUCAGCGACUUAUAUUCAGUGGCAAGCUUAACCGUAUAGGGUAGGCGUAGCGAAAGCGAGUCUUAAUAGGGCGUUUAGUCGCUGGGUAUAGACCCGAAACCGGGCGAUCUAUCCAUGAGCAGGUUGAAGGUUAGGUAACACUGACUGGAGGACCGAACCCACUCCCGUUGAAAAGGUAGGGGAUGACUUGUGGAUCGGAGUGAAAGGCUAAUCAAGCUCGGAGAUAGCUGGUUCUCCUCGAAAGCUAUUUAGGUAGCGCCUCAUGUAUCACUCUGGGGGGUAGAGCACUGUUUCGGCUAGGGGGUCAUCCCGACUUACCAAACCGAUGCAAACUCCGAAUACCCAGAAGUGCCGAGCAUGGGAGACACACGGCGGGUGCUAACGUCCGUCGUGAAAAGGGAAACAACCCAGACCGCCAGCUAAGGUCCCAAAGUUGUGGUUAAGUGGUAAACGAUGUGGGAAGGCUUAGACAGCUAGGAGGUUGGCUUAGAAGCAGCCAUCCUUUAAAGAAAGCGUAAUAGCUCACUAGUCGAGUCGGCCUGCGCGGAAGAUGUAACGGGGCUCAAACCACACACCGAAGCUGCGGGUGUCACGUAAGUGACGCGGUAGAGGAGCGUUCUGUAAGCCUGUGAAGGUGAGUUGAGAAGCUUGCUGGAGGUAUCAGAAGUGCGAAUGCUGACAUGAGUAACGACAAUGGGUGUGAAAAACACCCACGCCGAAAGACCAAGGGUUCCUGCGCAACGUUAAUCGACGCAGGGUUAGUCGGUUCCUAAGGCGAGGCUGAAAAGCGUAGUCGAUGGGAAACAGGUUAAUAUUCCUGUACUUCUGGUUACUGCGAUGGAGGGACGGAGAAGGCUAGGCCAGCUUGGCGUUGGUUGUCCAAGUUUAAGGUGGUAGGCUGAAAUCUUAGGUAAAUCCGGGGUUUCAAGGCCGAGAGCUGAUGACGAGUCGUCUUUUAGAUGACGAAGUGGUUGAUGCCAUGCUUCCAAGAAAAGCUUCUAAGCUUCAGGUAACCAGGAACCGUACCCCAAACCGACACAGGUGGUCGGGUAGAGAAUACCAAGGCGCUUGAGAGAACUCGGGUGAAGGAACUAGGCAAAAUGGCACCGUAACUUCGGGAGAAGGUGCGCCGGCUAGGGUGAAGGAUUUACUCCGUAAGCUCUGGCUGGUCGAAGAUACCAGGCCGCUGCGACUGUUUAUUAAAAACACAGCACUCUGCAAACACGAAAGUGGACGUAUAGGGUGUGACGCCUGCCCGGUGCCGGAAGGUUAAUUGAUGGGGUUAGCGCAAGCGAAGCUCUUGAUCGAAGCCCCGGUAAACGGCGGCCGUAACUAUAACGGUCCUAAGGUAGCGAAAUUCCUUGUCGGGUAAGUUCCGACCUGCACGAAUGGCGUAACGAUGGCGGCGCUGUCUCCACCCGAGACUCAGUGAAAUUGAAAUCGCUGUGAAGAUGCAGUGUAUCCGCGGCUAGACGGAAAGACCCCGUGAACCUUUACUGUAGCUUUGCACUGGACUUUGAGCCUGCUUGUGUAGGAUAGGUGGGAGGCUUUGAAGCGUGGACGCCAGUUCGCGUGGAGCCAUCCUUGAAAUACCACCCUGGCAUGCUUGAGGUUCUAACUCUGGUCCGUAAUCCGGAUCGAGGACAGUGUAUGGUGGGCAGUUUGACUGGGGCGGUCUCCUCCUAAAGAGUAACGGAGGAGUACGAAGGUGCGCUCAGACCGGUCGGAAAUCGGUCGCAGAGUAUAAAGGCAAAAGCGCGCUUGACUGCGAGACAGACACGUCGAGCAGGUACGAAAGUAGGUCUUAGUGAUCCGGUGGUUCUGUAUGGAAGGGCCAUCGCUCAACGGAUAAAAGGUACUCCGGGGAUAACAGGCUGAUACCGCCCAAGAGUUCAUAUCGACGGCGGUGUUUGGCACCUCGAUGUCGGCUCAUCACAUCCUGGGGCUGAAGCCGGUCCCAAGGGUAUGGCUGUUCGCCAUUUAAAGUGGUACGCGAGCUGGGUUUAGAACGUCGUGAGACAGUUCGGUCCCUAUCUGCCGUGGACGUUUGAGAUUUGAGAGGGGCUGCUCCUAGUACGAGAGGACCGGAGUGGACGAACCUCUGGUGUUCCGGUUGUCACGCCAGUGGCAUUGCCGGGUAGCUAUGUUCGGAAAAGAUAACCGCUGAAAGCAUCUAAGCGGGAAACUUGCCUCAAGAUGAGAUCUCACUGGGAACUUGAUUCCCCUGAAGGGCCGUCGAAGACUACGACGUUGAUAGGCUGGGUGUGUAAGCGUUGUGAGGCGUUGAGCUAACCAGUACUAAUUGCCCGUGAGGCUUGACCAUAUAACACCCAAACA
RNAcentral lists this ribosomal RNA (2912 nucleotides) under Pseudomonas aeruginosa. RNAcentral's name for it is "bacterial LSU rRNA". It matches the Rfam family "Bacterial large subunit ribosomal RNA". The record is from RNAcentral. Lineage: Bacteria; Pseudomonadati; Pseudomonadota; Gammaproteobacteria; Pseudomonadales; Pseudomonadaceae.